This is a long non-coding RNA of Olea europaea var. sylvestris, 1093 nucleotides long. RefSeq lists it as uncharacterized. The transcript is spliced from 3 exons. The record is from RefSeq and is a predicted model, not a curated record. NCBI's taxonomy places the organism in Eukaryota, Viridiplantae, Streptophyta, Magnoliopsida, Lamiales, Oleaceae.
ACACAUUCUGUUUCUUAUCUAAUUAAUGAUUUUUCUGUAGAGUAUGUUUUAUGCUAUCGCAUGAUCCUAGGACCUCUACCUGCUUCGAUACUAUGUUGAAUCCUGUCAUCUAAAAACUUAUGUUGUUGGAGAAAGGACAGGUUCAUAUUUUGAAUUCAAUGGCCUAGGUUUCAAUUGUCGUUGUGACAUUUCCACUUCAUGCCUAGAAAUUUCCAUGAGUUACUUGCUAAGGAAUAUAAAAUGCAGAUUGCAGAUCGACAGAUCGUGAAUCAUAUUAUGUGCACACACAUACAGGGCCUGAAAGAUAAACACUUCACUUUUUUUGCACAGAAAGGAAUUCUAGAGUUUUUGAAGAAAAAAGAACAACUGCUAGGGCGAUUUGCUGGGUAGAGUAAAGCUUUUGGUUUAUUUAUGAGCUUCAUUGCUUCAACAUGAAAUGAGUUUGAGAACUUUCCUUUAUCUUUACUGGUUCUUGGUAGGAAGAAUGUGUUAAAUUUCUGAUUCUGUUUUUGAAUCUUUUUCUUAUAUUUUAAGAGGAGUGUUUGUUCUCUUUAUGUAUGUAUUUUUAUAUUGCAAUUAAUAGAACUUCUACUAAAAGACGGUAACGUUAAAGUACUUUCUUUACAUGUUAUUUCAAGCUUUUAGCUUAAAGGACUGAUCUUUGCUUGAACUUGGCCCGAACCGACUUAAAUAAAGAUAACUACGUGAGUUAUUAAUACUUUUUUGAAGGUAAAAUACACCCCAAGGCUCUCCUCUCUCCCCCCCUUUAUAUGUAACCACCAUCAACCCCAUUUUUCACCUUGAAUUGGUCAAAGCCAAAAAUAUCUUUUGAGCUUCUUGUAAUCAAGCGUGAAUCAGAUGAACCUCCAUCCUAUCUAUGGGCCUGUACCUAAACGCUUAAAGCGAGAAACUCUAAUGUGGCUUAUCAUUUCUAGGCAAUCUUAUAUCUUGUUGGAAUCUACACAUCAUUCAUAGUCUUCUAUAACGACACGUGUUUAGAAGGUGUCUGCAUUUCUCAUAUUAAGUUUUGAUGUAAUACGAAUGCAUAUUCAUAACAUUAUCCAGUUUAUUUACUUUCUUUUUCUCUUCGAUA